ACCUGCCCGUAAGCUCGGGAUAACAUGGGGAAACUCAUGCUAAUACCGGAUAGGGUCUUCUCUCGCAUGAGAGGAGACGGAAAGGUGGCGCAAGCUACCACUUACGGAUGGGCCUGCGGCGCAUUAGCUAGUUGGUGGGGUAACGGCCUACCAAGGCGACGAUGCGUAGCCGACCUGAGAGGGUGACCGGCCA
This 193-nucleotide ribosomal RNA is filed under the name Brevibacillus borstelensis. RNAcentral's name for it is "partial 16S ribosomal RNA". It matches the Rfam family "Bacterial small subunit ribosomal RNA", at positions 124 to 310 of the family's 1533-position model. Lineage: Bacteria; Bacillati; Bacillota; Bacilli; Caryophanales; Paenibacillaceae. The record is from RNAcentral.